UAUCUAAAAACAUAACUUUUAUUAAAAUUCGUUAUAACAAUUGAUUUUUAUUUGAAUUUU
This 60-nucleotide ribosomal RNA is filed under the name Cavenderia fasciculata. The record is from RNAcentral. Lineage: Eukaryota; Evosea; Eumycetozoa; Acytosteliales; Cavenderiaceae.